UACAGAGGGGGCAAGCGUUGUUCGGAAUUACUGGGCGUAAAGGGCGCGUAGGCGGCCUCUUAAGUCGAACGUGAAAUCCCCGGGCUCAACCCGGGAACUGCGUCCGAUACUGGGAGGCUUGAAUCCGGGAGAGGGAUGCGGAAUUCCAGGUGUAGCGGUGAAAUGCGUAGAUAUCCUGAGGAACACCGGUGGCGAAAGCGGCGCGCUGGACCUCUUCUGACGCUGAGGCGCGAAAGCCAGGGGAGCAAACGGG
RNAcentral lists this ribosomal RNA (253 nucleotides) under uncultured bacterium. RNAcentral describes it as "partial 16S ribosomal RNA". It matches the Rfam family "Bacterial small subunit ribosomal RNA", at positions 524 to 776 of the family's 1533-position model. The record is from RNAcentral.